This 170-nucleotide ribosomal RNA is filed under the name Entrophospora sp. Its description in RNAcentral is "partial small subunit ribosomal RNA". Lineage: Eukaryota; Fungi; Glomeromycota; Glomeromycetes; Entrophosporales; Entrophosporaceae. The record is from RNAcentral.
UAUAUUAAGUUGUUGCAGUUAAAAAGCUCGUAGUUGAAUUUCGGGAUUGACGUGAUGGUCAUGCCUUAAGGGGUAUGAACUGUUACUGUUGAUUUCUCACCUUCUGGAGAAACUUGAUGUCCUUUAUUGGGUGUCUUGCGGAUCCAGGACCUUUACCUUGAAAAAUUAGA